GACGAACGCUGGCGGCGUGCCUAAUACAUGCAAGUAGAACGCUGAAGGAAGGAGCUUGCUCUUUCUGGAUGAGUUGCGAACGAGUGAGUAACGCGUAGGUAACCUGCCUGGUAGCGGGGGAUAACUAUUGGAAACGAUAGCUAAUACCGCAUAAAAUUGAUUAUUGCAUGAUAGUCAAUUAAAAGGUGCAACUGCACCACUACCAGAUGGACCUGCGUUGUAUUAGCUAGUUGGUGGGGUAACGGCUCACCAAGGCGACGAUACAUAGCCGACCUGAGAGGGUGAUCGGCCACACUGGGACUGAGACACGGCCCAGACUCCUACGGGAGGCAGCAGUAGGGAAUCUUCGGCAAUGGACGGAAGUCUGACCGAGCAACGCCGCGUGAGUGAAGAAGGUUUUCGGAUCGUAAAGCUCUGUUGUAAGAGAAGAACGAGUGUGAGAGUGGAAAGUUCACACUGUGACGGUAUCUUACCAGAAAGGGACGGCUAACUACGUG
Molecule: ribosomal RNA, 497 nt
Filed under: uncultured bacterium
Lineage: Bacteria
Description: partial 16S ribosomal RNA
Rfam family: Bacterial small subunit ribosomal RNA
Source: RNAcentral